RNAcentral lists this ribosomal RNA (497 nucleotides) under uncultured bacterium. Its description in RNAcentral is "partial 16S ribosomal RNA". It matches the Rfam family "Bacterial small subunit ribosomal RNA", at positions 28 to 507 of the family's 1533-position model. The record is from RNAcentral.
GAUGAACGCUGGCGGCGUGCCUAAUACAUGCAAGUCGAGCGAACAGACGAGAAGCUCGCUCCUCUGCCGUUAGCGGCGGACGGGUGAGUAACACGUGGAUAACCAACCUAUAAGACUGGGAUAACUUCGGAAAACCACAGCUACUACUGGCGAAUAUGUUGAACGGGAUGAAUCAAUAGUGAAUGACGGUUUUGCUGUCACUUAUAGAUGGAUCCGCGUCGCAUUAGCUAGUUGGUAAGGUAACGGCCUACCAAGGCAACGAUGCGUAGCCGACCUGAGAGGGUGAUCGGCCACACUGGAACUGAGACACGGUCCAGACUCCUACGGGAGGCAGCAGUGGGGAAUCUUCCGCAAUGGGCGAAAGCCUGACGCAGCAACGCCGCGUGAGUGAUGAAGGUCUUCGGAUCGUAAAACUCUGUUAUUAGGGAAGAACAAAUGUGUAAGUAACUAUGCACGUCUUGACGGUACCUAAUCAGAAAGCCACGGCUAACUACGUG